Molecule: ribosomal RNA, 411 nt
Filed under: Triticum aestivum (bread wheat)
Lineage: Eukaryota; Viridiplantae; Streptophyta; Magnoliopsida; Poales; Poaceae
Description: partial small subunit ribosomal RNA
Source: RNAcentral
AUGCUGGCAUCGCUCGCCGCCCGUGCUACAACGCAGCACACGGGAGGAGGCUGGACCGCGUGCCAUUGGUGUUGCGUUGGAGCUUUUGUCGUGCCGCCGAAGUUGCAAUGGAGCGCCGCCGUGGCUGCAAUGAAUCCUUACCGGAGACGUCGUCGGUGCGGCGUCGAUGCUUUUUGUGUGCUUGGUGUUGCCAUGGCCAUGACUGCAAUGGAGCAGCACGCCGGUGCUCCCGGUGCUGCAUGCCGGAGCGCCACCCAGUGCUGCAAUGGAGCGCUGACAAUGAUCGAUGGCGGCUCUUGGAGCUGCGUUGUAGUGCUUCCAACGGCUUCGGUGCCGCGAGGUCGCAGGACAGAUGUGCCAGGGCGGAUGUUGUGUUGCUCUAGCGGAUGUUGCGUUGCUAUAGUGGAAUGA